Long non-coding RNA from Sapajus apella (tufted capuchin), 293 nucleotides. RefSeq lists it as uncharacterized. Lineage: Eukaryota; Metazoa; Chordata; Mammalia; Primates; Cebidae. The record is from RefSeq and is a predicted model, not a curated record. The transcript has 3 exons.
AGCUACAAUAAUUUAAAGUCAAUACAUUUUUAUUCAAGGAAUUCCAUGUUGUGAUUUCUUCCACUGUCCAUCAAGGUCACUUUAGAUCCUCUAAAGAGCUGGAGUGAAAAUAUUUACCUUCAAGUUAGUCCUUUUUAAUGAAACUGAUGCUUAUUUUAAUCCAGUUGUCCUGUCAGCCCAUAAUUAUUUUAUUUUGGUUUCUGCCAUCUCGUUUUAAUAUAGAUAUACUGAUGAAGACUUCAAAAUUCACCAAGAAUCUUUGGCAUCUAAUUUCUUUAACAAAUUUACUUUAG